Non-coding RNA from Triticum urartu, 135 nucleotides. The record is from Rfam. Lineage: Eukaryota; Viridiplantae; Streptophyta; Magnoliopsida; Poales; Poaceae.
ACUGUACUCCCUCCGUCCCAAAAUUCUUAUCUUAGAUUUGUUUAAACACAGAUGUAUCAAGUCAUGUUUUAGUAUUAGAUACAUCCGUAUCUAAACGAAUUUAAGACAAGAAUUUUGGGACGGAGGGAGUAUUUG